Molecule: non-coding RNA, 85 nt
Organism: Gopherus flavomarginatus (Mexican gopher tortoise)
Lineage: Eukaryota; Metazoa; Chordata; Testudines; Testudinidae
Source: the annotation of a RefSeq genome assembly
UUAGUUGUAGCCGAGUGGUUAAGGUGAUGGACUAGAAAUCCAUUGGGGUCUCCCCAUGCAGGUUUGAAUCCUGCCAACUACCGAA